Molecule: ribosomal RNA, 477 nt
Filed under: uncultured anaerobic ammonium-oxidizing bacterium
Lineage: Bacteria
Description: bacterial SSU rRNA
Rfam family: Bacterial small subunit ribosomal RNA
Source: RNAcentral
UUCGCAAUGCCCGAAAGGGUGACGAAGCGACGCCGCGUGGGUGAGGAAGGCCUUCGGGUUGUAAAGCCCUGUCAGGAGUUAAGAAAUGUAAGUGCGCUAAUAUCGCAUUUACUUGACGAAGGCUCCAAAGGAAGCCACGGCUAACUCUGUGCCAGCAGCCGCGGUAAUACAGAGGUGGCAAGCGUUGUUCGGAAUUAUUGGGCGUAAAGAGCACGUAGGUGGGUUUGUAAGUCAGAUGUGAAAGCCUUCUGUUCAACGGAAGAAUUGCAUCUGAAACUGCAAAUCUUGAGUAUAGGAGGGGAGAAUGGAACUUCUGGUGGAGCGGUGAAAUGCGUAGAUAUCAGAAGGAACGCCGGCGGCGAAAGCGAUUCUCUGGCCUAUUACUGACACUCAGUGUGCGAAAGCUAGGGGAGCAAACGGGAUUAGAUACCCCGGUAGUCCUAGCUGUAAACGAUGGGCACUAAGUAGAGGGGUUUU